RNAcentral lists this long non-coding RNA (702 nucleotides) under Helianthus annuus (common sunflower). Lineage: Eukaryota; Viridiplantae; Streptophyta; Magnoliopsida; Asterales; Asteraceae. The record is from RNAcentral.
AUGGGAUUAGUUUUGAGUUUCAAAGAGUCUGGGCUCUUCGACUUUUUGUUUUCCGUAUUUAGUUUUUAUAGGGUCCGACUCUAUAGGGUUCGGUUUUGAUACAUUACGAAAUAUCCAAACACAUGUCAAUCAGUAAUGAUAAGUAUUUAUUUUUUAUCCAACAAUCCAAAACAUGAAUAUAAAGUGUAAUAUGAAGUCCGUAGGCCAUGCAUAGUGGAGAGGUGAAAGGAGGUUUUGGGGCGCUAUACACUAUAAGAAAAGAAUACCUUUAGCGGCGACCGCAAUAGUGGCGACAGACCAAACGUCGCCGCUAUUGGUCGAUCUGUGUCCCACCACCUAACAUCAAUCCCCAGCCGUUGAUCCUUACCCUGAUCCAACGGUUGGGGACUUAAGAACCAAUAGCGGCGACAGGAAUUAGGGCAUUAGCGGCGACCCAUUAUCUCCGCUAAAGAACUGUGGACCCUCAUUCAAACCAGUAGCGGCGACGGUGAACUAAUAGCGGCGACAAGCUGUCGCCGGUAAUACUCGAACGAAAUAAACCUUUUACAGCGGGCUUUUUUCCCUCUUUCCUCACUUUCCCCCUUUUCUUCUUCUCUCAAGCGACGGAUUCCGGCAAAUUUCUUCAAAUCGAGAAAUCGGCUCACCACCAUCACCUCUCCGGUUACCACCAUUACUUCUCCGGUCACCACCUCGUCUCCGCGG